GAUGAACGCUGGCGGCGUGCCUAAUACAUGCAAGUCGAGCGAAUGGAUUAAGAGCUUGCUCUUAUGAAGUUAGCGGCGGACGGGUGAGUAACACGUGGGUAACCUGCCCAUAAGACUGGGAUAACCCCGGGAAACCGGUGCUAAUACCGGAUAACAUUUUGAACCGCAUGGUUCGAAAUUGAAAGGCGGCUUCGGCUGUCACUGAUGAAUGGACCCGCGUCGCAUUAGCUAGUUGGUGAGGUAACGGCGCACCAAGGCAACGAUGCGUAGCCGACCUGGGAGGGUGAUCGGCCACACUGGGACUGAGACACGGCCCAGACUCCUACGGGAGGCAGCAGUAGGGAAUCUUCCGCAAUGGACGAAAGUCUGACGGAGCAACGCCGCGUGAGUGAUGAAGGCUUUCGGGUCGUAAAACUCUGUUGUUAGGGAAGAACAAGUGCUAGUUGAAUAAGCUGGCACCUUGACGGUACCUAGCCAGAAAGCCACGGCUAACUACGUGCCAGCAGCCGCGGUAA
This 515-nucleotide ribosomal RNA is filed under the name uncultured bacterium. RNAcentral's name for it is "partial 16S ribosomal RNA". It matches the Rfam family "Bacterial small subunit ribosomal RNA", at positions 28 to 523 of the family's 1533-position model. The record is from RNAcentral.